GACGAACGCUGGCGGCGUGCCUAACACAUGCAAGUCGAACGGAAAGGCCCUGCUUUUGUGGGGUUCUCGAGUGGCGAACGGGUGAGUAACACGUGAGUAACCUGCCCUUGUCUUUGGGAUAACUUCAGGAAACUGGGGCUAAUACCGGACAGGAGCUCCUGCUGCAUGGUGGGGGUUGGAAAGUCUCGGCGGUUGGGGAUGGACUCGCGGCUUAUCAGCUUGUUGGUGGGGUAGUGGCUUACCAAGGCUUUGACGGGUAGCCGGCCUGGGAGGGGGACCGGCCACAAUGGGACUGAGAUAGGGACCAGAGUCGUACGGGAGACAGCAGUGGGGAAUAUUGCACAAUGGGCGGGAGUCGGAUGCGGAAGCGCUGCGUGCGGGAUGACGGUCUUCGGGUUGUAAACCGCUUUAGCCUGUGACGAAGCGUGAGUGACGGUAAUGGGUAAAGAAGCACCGGCUAACUACGUG
This 468-nucleotide ribosomal RNA is filed under the name uncultured bacterium. Its description in RNAcentral is "partial 16S ribosomal RNA". It matches the Rfam family "Bacterial small subunit ribosomal RNA", at positions 28 to 507 of the family's 1533-position model. The record is from RNAcentral.